GAUCAUGGCUCAGAUUGAACGCUAGCUACAGGCUUAACACAUGCAAGUCGAGGGGCAACAUUUUAGUUUGCUUGCAAACUAAAGAUGGCGACCGGCGCACGGGUGAGUAACACGUAUCCAACCUGCCGAUAACUCGGGGAUAGCCUUUCGAAAGAAAGAUUAAUAUCCGAUGGUAUAUUAAAACCGCAUGGUUUUACUAUUAAAGAAUUUCGGUUUAUCGAUGAGGAUNCGUUCCAUUAGUUUGUUGGCGGGGUAACGG
RNAcentral lists this ribosomal RNA (259 nucleotides) under uncultured bacterium. RNAcentral describes it as "partial 16S ribosomal RNA". It matches the Rfam family "Bacterial small subunit ribosomal RNA", at positions 15 to 263 of the family's 1533-position model. The record is from RNAcentral.